Molecule: ribosomal RNA, 1000 nt
Filed under: Salmonella enterica subsp. enterica serovar Kentucky
Lineage: Bacteria; Pseudomonadati; Pseudomonadota; Gammaproteobacteria; Enterobacterales; Enterobacteriaceae
Description: partial 23S ribosomal RNA
Rfam family: Bacterial large subunit ribosomal RNA
Source: RNAcentral
GUGGCGGAGCGUCGUUUGCGACGCCCAACACACAAAACAAGCGGUGAGUGCUUUGGGGUGGGGUGACUGCGUACCUUUUGUAUAAUGGGUCAGCGACUUAUAUUCUGUAGCAAGGUUAACCGUAUAGGGGAGCCGAAGGGAAACCGAGUCUUAACUGGGCGUUAAGUUGCAGGGUAUAGACCCGAAACCCGGUGAUCUAGCCAUGGGCAGGUUGAAGGUUGGGUAACACUAACUGGAGGACCGAACCGACUAAUGUUGAAAAAUUAGCGGAUGACUUGUGGCUGGGGGUGAAAGGCCAAUCAAACCGGGAGAUAGCUGGUUCUCCCCGAAAGCUAUUUAGGUAGCGCCUCGUGAACUCAUCUUCGGGGGUAGAGCACUGUUUCGGCUAGGGGGUCAUCCCGACUUACCAACCCGAUGCAAACUGCGAAUACCGAAGAAUGUUAUCACGGGAGACACACGGCGGGUGCUAACGUCCGUCGUGAAGAGGGAAACAACCCAGACCGCCAGCUAAGGUCCCAAAGUCACAGUUAAGUGGGAAACGAUGUGGGAAGGCUCAGACAGCCAGGAUGUUGGCUUAGAAGCAGCCAUCAUUUAAAGAAAGCGUAAUAGCUCACUGGUCGAGUCGGCCUGCGCGGAAGAUGUAACGGGGCUAAACUGUGCACCGAAGCUGCGGCAGCGACGCUUAUGCGUUGUUGGGUAGGGGAGCGUUCUGUAAGCCUGCGAAGGUGUCCUGUGAGGGAUGCUGGAGGUAUCAGAAGUGCGAAUGCUGACAUAAGUAACGAUAAUGCGGGUGAAAAGCCCGCUCGCCGGAAGACCAAGGGUUCCUGUCCAACGUUAAUCGGGGCAGGGUGAGUCGACCCCUAAGGCGAGGCCGAAAGGCGUAGUCGAUGGGAAACGGGUUAAUAUUCCCGUACUUGGUGUUACUGCGAAGGGGGGACGGAGAAGGCUAUGUUGGCCGGGCGACGGUUGUCCCGGUUUAAGCGUGUAGGCUGGUUUUCCA